This 491-nucleotide ribosomal RNA is filed under the name uncultured bacterium. RNAcentral's name for it is "partial 16S ribosomal RNA". It matches the Rfam family "Bacterial small subunit ribosomal RNA", at positions 29 to 507 of the family's 1533-position model. The record is from RNAcentral.
GUGAACGCUGGCGGUAGGCCUAACACAUGCAAGUCGAACGGCAGCACAGUAAGAGCUUGCUCUUACGGGUGGCGAGUGGCGGACGGGUGAGGAAUACAUCGGAAUCUACUUUUUCGUGGGGGAUAACGUAGGGAAACUUACGCUAAUACCGCAUACGACCUACGGGUGAAAGCAGGGGAUCUUCGGACCUUGCGCGAUUGAAUGAGCCGAUGUCGGAUUAGCUAGUUGGCGGGGUAAAGGCCCACCAAGGCGACGAUCCGUAGCUGGUCUGAGAGGAUGAUCAGCCACACUGGAACUGAGACACGGUCCAGACUCCUACGGGAGGCAGCAGUGGGGAAUAUUGGACAAUGGGCGCAAGCCUGAUCCAGCCAUACCGCGUGGGUGAAGAAGGCCUUCGGGUUGUAAAGCCCUUUUGUUGUGAAAGAAAAGCAGCAGGUUAAUACCCCGCUGUUCUGACGGUACCCAAAGAAUAAGCACCGGCUAACUUCGUG